Molecule: ribosomal RNA, 440 nt
Filed under: uncultured bacterium
Lineage: Bacteria
Description: partial 16S ribosomal RNA
Rfam family: Bacterial small subunit ribosomal RNA
Source: RNAcentral
CCUACGGGAGGCUGCAGUGGGGAAUAUUGCACAAUGGGGGAAACCCUGAUGCAGCGACGCCGCGUGAGUGAAGAAGUCUUUCGGUAUGUAAAGCUCUAUCAGCAGGGAAGAGAAUGACGGUACCUGAGUAAGAAGCCACGGCUAACUACGUGCCAGCAGCCGCGGUACUACGCAGGGGGCAAGCGUUAGCCGGAUUUACUGGGUGUAAAGGGAGCGUAGACGGCGAAGAAUGUCUGAGGUGCAAGCCCGCGGCUUAACCGGGGAACUGCUUUGGAACCUUGUUUGCUGGAGUACCGUAGAGGUGAGCGGAAUUCCUAGUGUAGCGGUGAAAUGCGUAGAUAUGAGGAGGAACACCGGUGGCGAAGGCGGCUUACUGGACAGUGACUGACGUUGAGGCUCGAAAGCGUGGGGAGCAAACAGGAUUAGAUACCCGAGUAGUC